This 1245-nucleotide ribosomal RNA is filed under the name metagenome. Its description in RNAcentral is "bacterial LSU rRNA". It matches the Rfam family "Bacterial large subunit ribosomal RNA", at positions 1564 to 2819 of the family's 2925-position model. The record is from RNAcentral.
UGAAUACGAGACGCUAAGGCGUCGAAGUAGUGUAUGUCAUACUUCCAAGAAAAGCUUGCACUGUCAUAGAUAAAAAACGCCUGUACCAUAACCGACACAGGUGGGUAGGUAGAGUAUACUAAGGGGCGCGAGAUAACUCUCUCUAAGGAACUCGGCAAAAUAACUCCGUAACUUCGGGAGAAGGAGUGCCUUAUUCGUAAGGUUGCAAUAACAAGAUCCAAGCAACUGUUUAUCAAAAACACAGGUCUCCGCUAAGUCGUAAGACGAUGUAUGGGGGCUGACGCCUGCCCAGUGCCAGAAGGUUAAAGAAGUUGGUUAGCAAUUGCGAAGCUGAUAACUGAAGCCCUGGUGAACGGCGGCCGUAACAAUAACGGUCCUAAGGUAGCGAAAUUCCUUGUCGGGUAAGUUCCGACCCGCACGAAAGGCGUAAUGAUUUGGAUACUGUCUCGGAGAGGGGCUCGGUGAAAUAGACUUGUCUGUGAAGAUGCGGACCACCUGCACCAGGACAGAAAGACCCUAUGAAGCUUUACUGUAACUUGAAAUUGAAAUUGGACUUUAUUCGCGCAGUAUAGGUGGGAGGCGUUGAUUAUAAUCUUGUGGGAUUAUUGGAGCCAUCAGUGAGAUACCACUCUUGUAAUGUUAGAUUUCUAACUUUGAAUCAUUAUCUGGUCAAAGAACAGUUUCAGGCGGGCAGUUUGACUGGGGCGGUCGCCUCCUAAACGGUAACGGAGGCGUACAAAGGUUUCCUCUGAACGGUUAGAAAUCGUAUCUAGAGUGUAAAGGCAUAAGGAAGCUUGACUGUGAGACCUACAAGUCGAGCAGGGACGAAAGUCGGUCUUAGUGAUCUGACGGUACUGAGUGGAAAGGCCGUCACUCAACGGAUAAAAGUUACUCUAGGAUAACAGGCUGAUCUCCCCCAAGAGUUCACAUCGACGGGGAGGUUUGGCACCCCGAUGUCGGCUCAUCGCAUCCUGGGGCGGUAGUACGUCCCAAGGGUUGGGCUGUUCGCCCAUGAAAGCGGUACGCGAGCUGGGUUCAGAACGUCGUGAGACAGUUCGGUCCAUAUCCGGUGUAGGCGUUAGAAUAUUGAGAGGAGCCUUCUUUAGUACGAGAGGACCGAGAAGGACAUACCUCUGGUGUACCAGUUAUCGUGCCAACGGUAAACGCUGGGUAGCUAUGUAUGGAGUGGAUAACCGCUGAAAGCAUCUAAGUGGGAAGCCCACCUCAAGAUAAGUAUUCUCAUCA